CAGGUAGGACUACCCGCUGA
This 20-nucleotide ribosomal RNA is filed under the name Thaxterogaster sp. TL502A. RNAcentral describes it as "partial 28S ribosomal RNA". Lineage: Eukaryota; Fungi; Basidiomycota; Agaricomycetes; Agaricales; Cortinariaceae. The record is from RNAcentral.